AGUGGCGAACGGGUGAGUAAUGCAUCGGAACGUAUCCAAUAAUGGGGGAUAACGCAUCGAAAGGUGUGCUAAUACCGCAUACGCCCUGAGGGGGAAAGUGGGGGACCGUAAGGCCUCACGUUAAUGGAGCGGCUGAUGCCUGAUUAGCUAGUUGGUGAGGUAAAGGCUCACCAAGGCGACGAUCAGUAGCUGGUCUGAGAGGACGACCAGCCACACUGGAACUGAGACACGGUCCAGACUCCUACGGGAGGCAGCAGUGGGGAAUUUUGGACAAUGGGGGCAACCCUGAUCCAGCCAUGCCGCGUGAGUGAAGAAGGCCUUCGGGUUGUAAAGCUCUUUCGCAAGGGAAGAAAAGACACUCAAUAACACCGGGUGUUCAUGACGGUACCUUGAUAAGAAGCACCGGCUAACUACGUGCCAGCAGCCGCGGUAAUACGUAGGGUGCGAGCGUUAAUCGGAAUUACUGGGCGUAAAGCGAGCGCAGGCGGUUUUGUAAGUCAGAUGUGAAAUCCCCGGGCUCAACCUGGGAACUGCGUUUGAAACUGCAAGGCUAGAGUGUGUCAGAGGGAGGUAGAAUUCCACGUGUAGCAGUGAAAUGCGUAGAGAUGUGGAGGAACACCGAUGGCGAAGGCAGCCUCCUGGGAUAACACUGACGCUCAUGCUCGAAAGCGUGGGGAGCAAACAGGAUUAGAUACCCUGGUAGUCCACGCCCUAAACGAUGUCUACUAGU
This 730-nucleotide ribosomal RNA is filed under the name uncultured bacterium. RNAcentral describes it as "bacterial SSU rRNA". It matches the Rfam family "Bacterial small subunit ribosomal RNA", at positions 94 to 820 of the family's 1533-position model. The record is from RNAcentral.